Molecule: non-coding RNA, 853 nt
Organism: Pimephales promelas (fathead minnow)
Lineage: Eukaryota; Metazoa; Chordata; Actinopteri; Cypriniformes; Leuciscidae
Source: RefSeq, a predicted model, not a curated record
GUUUCAGGCAUGUUCAAGUCUUUUAUACAGAGUCCAACUCAACUCAACUCAGCUCAAGUUCAAGUCUUCACCUUUUGUCACAGGCACUGGAGUAUUAACUCACCAAAAGCCAUGGAGCAAUUAACUUCCUUCCUGCCUCCUAUAAUGAGCACAACAACAUGUCCCUAGUGCACUUAAACAGCCAGAGGACAAGAAGCCCAGGAGCACCUCAGAGAUUCACUGAAAAAUUAACUCUGUGCGCGUCCAAACGACUGCCGGAGUGACACUUAGGAUCAGCGUUAUGAGGAAAUGUCAGGACAUUGACUGAAGUGCAGGAAGUGACUACAAGAGGGUGAAACGUCUGAGAAGUAGGGAACCAGGGUGAUGCUAACUUGUCUGGCCUCCAAAAAUGUGUCAUCACUGCGAGCCUCCAUUGCAGGGAGAGGCAACCUCAGUCCUGAAGUGCCGCCGUCCUGCAUAGUUUAGCGCAACACACACCUGAACAAGCUAAUCAAUGUCUUCAGGAUAACAAAGGCUACAGAACUAAAUAAUACACCCAGAUUUCCACAUCUCAUCCAUAAUUACCCUAGGGGCUGAUACAAUACAAGAGAGACACUGGGAAGAAGAAAGAAAGAGAACAGAGGAGAGAAAAUGAGAAACGGAGAGUUUAUGUGUUUAUUGUGAUGUGUGUGGAAGAUUUAAACUGUCCCACAGAAGGUUUGGAUCUGUCCCAUAGGUCCUUAUUAAGUAUUCAGUGACUCUAACUGUACGUGUGUAUUUGUGCGUGUGAACGUUGUCGAUGCAGGCAGAUGCUAUUUGUUUUUUUUUGUUUUUUUUGUUUUUACACAUAUGUAUAUCUAUGACAAACACUAAU